AUUGAACGCUGGCGGCAGGCCUAACACAUGCAAGUCGAGCGGAUGAAGGGAGCUUGCUCCUGGAUUCAGCGGCGGACGGGUGAGUAAUGCCUAGGAAUCUGCCUGGUAGUGGGGAUAACGUCCGGAAACGGGCGCUAAUACUGCAUACGUCCUGAGGGAGAAAGUGGGGGAUCUUCGGACCUCACGCUAUCAGAUGAGCCUAGGUCGGAUUAGCUAGUUGGUGGGGUAAAGGCCUACCAAGGCGACGAUCCGUAACUGGUCUGAGAGGAUGAUCAGUCACACUGGAACUGAGACACGGUCCAGACUCCUACGGGAGGCAGCAGUGGGGAAUAUUGGACAAUGGGCGAAAGCCUGAUCCAGCCAUGCCGCGUGUGUGAAGAAGGUCUUCGGAUUGUAAAGCACUUUAAGUUGGGAGGAAGGGCAGUAAGUUAAUACCUUGCUGUUUUGACGUUACCAACAGAAUAAGCACCGGCUAACUUCGUG
Molecule: ribosomal RNA, 483 nt
Filed under: uncultured bacterium
Lineage: Bacteria
Description: partial 16S ribosomal RNA
Rfam family: Bacterial small subunit ribosomal RNA
Source: RNAcentral